Elaeis guineensis (African oil palm) is the source of this 3330-nucleotide RNA transcript. RefSeq lists it as uncharacterized. NCBI's taxonomy places the organism in Eukaryota, Viridiplantae, Streptophyta, Magnoliopsida, Arecales, Arecaceae. The record is from RefSeq and is a predicted model, not a curated record.
UUUUUUUUCUUCUUUUCUUCGAACCCUUCCCGAGCCCUAGCGGACGCCCACCUCCCGCCGGUCUCCGCCGUUGCCUUCCUCCCCAAUCUCCCUCAGGUGGUUUUCUUCCCACAGAUCUCCGAUAAAGAGAGACGCCGACCUCCUCCCUGCUCUCCUCGCCGCCACCUCCCACCGGUUGCCGCCAUUCCCUUCCUCGACAUCGUCACCGGCGCGGCCUUCCCCUCCGAUCUCCCUCAGAGCCGAUGCCACUCUGGAUCAGACCUGGAAUUCACCUAAGUCGGAUGGGGUACUGCUAUGUAUAACCGGUGGUUACCCAAUAGAAACGCCAACCGGCCGGUUUUCCAAGCACAUACUCAAUUACAUAGGGGAUAACUGGCUCAUUGAAGGCUCAAACAUCCAUUCUGCCCUUUCUUCUAGGGAAAGACGACGAGAACCUGGGGAAAGCUAGGGUUUCUAAGCGUGGCCGUAUUCCGAUAUGUGGCAGGAAAUUAGCGGAAAUUUCUGCUAUGUUUUCCCAAUUCUCGUCGCUGCCAUUGUUAUUCGUGUGGCAUAUGUGCUGUAUUGGACUGGAAGGCCCCUCAGAGCCUCUGCAUCAGAGAGAGUUAGAACUCUCAUUAUUCUUGGGUCAGGAGGCCACACAGCAGAAAUGCUUAGCAUUUUGAACGUGCUUCAGAAGGACAGAUUUGUGCCGAGAUACUAUGUUGCAGCUGCAACUGAUAACAUGAGCCUUCAAAAGGCUCGGGUUUUUGAGGAGUCGUUGGUCCAGCAGGGGGAGAAUGGUGGAAGAGAUAUGUUAGAGGCUGCUCAGUUCAUGCAGAUUUAUCGAAGCCGUGAAGUGGGUCAGUCUUAUUUUACCUCCAUUGGAACAACUUUGAUUGCAAUGGUGCAUGCACUGUGGUUAACAUUACGAAUUAGACCUCAAGUGAUUAUCUGCAAUGGUCCCGGGACCUGCAUUCCACUCUGUGUUUCUGCGUACCUUUUGAAGGUAGUUGGCCUCAGAUGGUCAACAAUCUUUUAUGUGGAGAGCAUUGCGAGAGUUAGGAAGCUCUCCUUAAGUGGCUUGUUGCUCUACAAGUUAGGCCUAGCUGAUCAAUUUAUUGUGCAAUGGCCCCAGUUGCAAAAGAAGUAUCCCAGAGCACACCAUGUUGGUCGUCUAAUGUAAAAUCUUUGGCUAUUGCUGACCCUGCAGCAGGAGAUCCUCGAUGAGAUGUACACCUCUAGCUAAAGUAAUCUGGGCUUCUCCAUAAAUUGAUCAUCUCUGACCAUAUCUAAGUGAUCAUUGGUAGAAUCAUGAGACCAAGGUAUGCCGUCUCGGUUCCAAACCCUGUACUUGUGCCACUGUGUUACUGCAUCGCUACUAGGUCGGUUCAGCAUAUUGAGUGUCAAUACACCUCUUCAUUCGGUAUGCUUACAGCACUGCAUACCAGUCUCGAACCGAUAUGGUACGGUACAUUCCAUAUCGCUUGAUUUGAUAAUAUGGCAAACUUUGCAUGAGACAAAUUAUAUCCAUUUGAUCCAUAGACUUUACUUGCACUGGGUAGAUGAGAAUAUAUUGAUCGAGAAUAAUAUAUUCUCAUGCAAUAAUAAUAUAUAUUUCCAGUGUAACUAUAGUUAUGAGGAGGUUGAAACAGAAUAAUAGAUUUAUAAAGUAAUUUGUGGCUUUUCAAGAAUAAGUUCAGCCACAUUAUUCACUUUUCAUUGUAUUGUUUUUUAUGAAUAGUUGCAGUCUGCCAUGUGGGGAUACCUAAUUUUGGAUACGAAAAGAUAUAAAUUUUAUAAAAAUUGCGGAGGAUUAAAUGAAAGUUCAAAAAGAAUUGGACUUCACUUAAAAGAAUUAAAAUCACAACAGACAUUGAUCAUCACAGACCCAUAUAUUAUCCAUGAAAAAAAAUAUGGAAGGACAACUACCACAAACAGAAACAACUGCAAGAAUGAUAUCAGCAACCUACAUAGUCAUCCAUGUAAAAUCUGCAUAUAUUUUGCCCAAAUCAUGAAUAAUUUGUGAGAGUUUAUAAAAUCAGUGUGUUGAAUUGUUUCAGCAUAUUUCAGUGGCAUGUGCUUCAACUUUUGAAGGUAGUGCCUGUGUUGGAGGGUUUGAAAUCAAUAUUGCCCCUUCAGCCAUGCAAUCUGUUCAUAGAAUAUUUAUAGUUACCUCAGUUACUGGGAAUACUUUGGAGUUGGUAGAAUCAUCCAUAUGAUUUUUUUUUUUAAAUAAUUCAAAAUAUUGUCACCAGAGUUUAUAGGCUGUAGACAGCUCAUACAAGGGCUAUUUUUUCUUCAUUCAUAAACUGCUGCUCUUUUUUUCUCCUUUUACCUUAUUCUGUAUAUUGUCAAGUAAUGCUCGCAGGCAUAUCUAUCAGUUAUCUAUUACACAAGCACUAGAUACCCCUUGCUUGCAGUGAUACAAAGAACCUACAUAGUGACCAUUCCUUGUGCCAGAAACAUCUGAAGUUGGAUUAGUCCAUCGAGUGCUACCUGCUCCAAUUCCUUGUCGAAUCUUGUUGAUCUUAUCCAUCAGCAUCUUCUCCUCUCCUUUGACUUAAAUCAUUGAUUACUUUCCUAGGCAUGAAGACAGCCAUAAUCCAUCCAAACCUAGCUGUCAGAAUCUGUUCCAAAUAAAUGGGGACCUGGAAGGCUCCAUUCAUCACGCAUCACAAUGAGAGCUUUUGGUGAAAGAUGGAGUAUAGGACAAAACCUCCUUUGUCUUGUCCUCCACUGCAAUACCUCUUUCCAAAUGCAAACUUCAAUCCCACAUUUCCUACGAAUCUAAUGGCUCUUUUUAUUAUGUCAAGCAGUAGAUUUGCAAUGGAAAAGAUAAGUGAUCAAGAGAUAUGAAAUGUAUCGAGAAAUGAUUAUCUUAAGAUUUUAUGCUAAUCAUGUUUUUACAGUUUAUAACUUGUGCUGGUGUCAUCGUAAUUUGUAAAUUAUGAACUACUUUCGCUUUUUUAGUUUAUCACUCACAAGUUUGUUUUGCAAGUUUGGAAAUCAAUUCUAGGAAAAAAAGGGGAUAUUUUGAAAUCUCCUCUUUUGUACAGAAGACAUGAGAUCUGUUACCAUGGCUUGAUGUAAAUGUCAUGGGGAUAUUGGAUUAUCUUAUGACCACAGACUACGCAAGGCUAGCACACCUUUAAAAUAUUCUCCUCAUUCUUGUCACACCUAAUUUGGAUUUGGUUAUUAUGAUUGGAUCCUAUCCAAACCUUGGGAGGUUCCCUGAGGUUUUUUGUUUGUUUCCUUCUUAUAGGAUUAUAUUCCAAUGUUAUCAAGUUGUGGAUGGAGGUUACCAAAAAAAUUGUAAAGAAACGUGGAUAUGCUAUGUGAUGAAAGAUUAUA